Long non-coding RNA from Acinonyx jubatus (cheetah), 3016 nucleotides. RefSeq lists it as uncharacterized. The record is from RefSeq and is a predicted model, not a curated record. The transcript is spliced from 2 exons. NCBI's taxonomy places the organism in Eukaryota, Metazoa, Chordata, Mammalia, Carnivora, Felidae.
GCCGCAGUCUCGGCCCGAGCGCGCGUGCCCCUGGGGCCACGUGACGGAAGGCCCCGCCCCCCGCGCGCGCGGGAGUGACGUCACCCGGCUCGCCCGGCGUGGGUGCCCAGCGGCCGCGGCGAGGUGCCGGGCGCCGUCGAGGCCGCGUUUUGGGCCACAGCCUUGAGGGUCUGUGACGGGCGGCCUUCGGGUUUCUUCUCGUAUAAAAAGGCCUCGUUAAGGACAAGUGGGCUUACACGUUUUAAACGAUGUUCAAGCUCCGUUGCGAUAAAAGACACGUGGGUUCAAGUGUGAAGGCUUUGCGGUGCACGCCCCCGAGAAGCCGUGGGGAGACCGACCGCACGCGCCGGUGGGAGGAGUGCAGGGGUGCGGGGCUCCCGUGCGACCUUGGCCGCAGCGCCGCCAGUGUCGCCGGGGGCUCGUUACAACUGCUGAAUCUUCAGCCCCGUGCGACCUACCUAGGAAGGGAAGUCUGCAUUUUACCAAGAUCUCCGCGUGAUUCACAUACAACCUAAGUUUGAAAUCGGCGCCGUAGGGAACGGUCAAGAGACAGAGAAUAGCAGGGAGGGGCAGAGAGAGAGGGAGACACAGGAUCCGAAGCAGGCUCCAGGCUCCGAGCCGUCAGCACAGAGCCCGACACAGGGCUCGAACUCACAGACCGCGAGAUCAUGACCUGAGCCGAAGUCGGACGCUCCACCGACUGAGCCACCCAGGCGCCCCUGUAGGCCUCAUGCCCAGUCCAGUGCAGGGCUCGAACUCACGACUAUGAGAUCGAGAUCUGAGUCAAGGUCAAGAGUUGGAUGCUUUACCGACUGAGCCACUCAGGUACCCCCAGCAAGAUUUAAGAUUUACUGUACCGUUGUGUGUGUAUCUCCAGUUGGGUAAUUUUCAUGGCUGUAUAGAAUUAUAUCAGCUAAAUAUAACCCAUUUAUCCAUUCUGCUCUUGAUGAGCAGCUGGGCUGUGUUUUGUUUGGGCUCACAUCCACCAUGCUGUUUCUAAACAUUCUUGUUCAUGUCUUCUGGUUGCCCAAAGGCAUGCCUUUCUGUGGUGUGCACACAGAAUGGAAUUGCUGGAUCAUGGGAUACUCAUGAUCUUUACUUGACUUUGCCAAACUGUUUUCCAAAGUGAGUUUAUAAUAAUACUCCCACCAGCCGUGUCUGAGAAUUCCUGUGUUUGCCAAUACUUGGUCCUACCAGACGUUUGACAUUUUUGCCAAUCUAAACGGCCAUGUAGAAAUAUUGACGUUUUCAAAAAAGACUAUUAUUCCUUUUAUAAUUUAAAACAAUAAAGAAAUAUUAGAUUGGAACCAGGACAUAUAAUAUCACAGCAAGUUCUCCCAUUUUUCUCCCCAUAUAUCUGAAAGGAGGUCUUGGGGCUACUGCUGUCUAUGUUUGUGCGUGGAUCCUGGAGGGACACCUUUCAAGUUCAAAUGGGGCCGUGGCUACAUGUUUUCUGUGUGUGCACCCUUUUAGGUCCUGGCCAGGGGCUGCAGCCUUGGGGAGACGUGCAGAUGAAGGGGUCUGGCUUUGAUAGAGAAAUUGACUGUCGGUAGAAGAGAGGUAGUGAAGUCUGUCGCGUGGUGUCCAGACCACAGUAGCCGCACCCUUGGGAACUUGGUACCAGAGGAAGAGAAUCUAAAGAAUUGCCUAUGGGGAUGGGAACAGCGGGAGAUGUUUGCUUCAGAGGGGGGAUCCCACAGGGUGGGGGGCGGGAGGGACAUAGAUCUGGGCCAAACAAACAAACCAAACUUCCUGGGUUGAUGAAUUUACUUCUGAGAAACUUGAGUUUCCCCAGCAAUUGAAAUAAAAAGGAACGUUCAAGUGUAGUGGGUUCGAAUGAACUAAUUGAGAAUAGGGUCUGGGGAAGGUGGAUGAGGGGUUGAAGGUGUGCCAAAAAUUUAAGGAAACUUGUUAUCUGGAAAGGCAGGAACGGGUUCCUGGGUGCCAAGCCCCGUUCUGUAUUCUUGCUCGUCUUUCCAAAUCAGAGACAUUUCCCUCACCUUGUAUUCAUCCAGCCAAACGUGCGCCAGUCUGAGACUGUUAUAUGUCAUGGCUUCUGCAAACUCAGGUUGAUUUGGAAAGCGCUGCUUACUGAUGUGUCCUACCCGCGAGCAGGGGAGUACAAAGAGUUGGUCUCCACACAUCCAGAUCUAGACGAAAACAGACAACAUUGACGUAUGUGUGCUGGUACGAAGCAACUGCUGAAUUUUUUUUCACAACCAUAGCAAUGGCUAACAUUUCUUAAGUUGUUUAUUUAAUCCUAACAGCCCUAUAAUAUAGGUCCGGUGACUAUCCCCAUUUUACAAAUAAAGAAAUGAAUACGUACAUUGGCGAAGAAGCUUGCCCAGUGACACCGAGCAGAGUUUAAGGUCAGGAGGUCUGGCCUCAGAGCCAACACUCCGAAUGCUAAGUGAUUCUGUCUCCCUCAUACGUGACCAGUUCCGAGGCUGCUUACGUAGGAAAAGUGGUGGGCUAUUUUGCCCUAAGGUAUCCUCAAGAAUACUCUGAGAAUAAUUAAGUAUUGCUGGAUGUCAACAGGUAAUGAGAGAAAUGGCUAAAUUCGAUGAUUCAUGUGUUCUGUACUUAACACACUUUGUGAUGCUUAUUUUUAACAAAGUCUUUACUACACAAAAGUAAACUAUGACCAUUGAAAAAUCAGCAAAUGUAGAAAAGCACACAGAAGAAAAUAAAGAUCACUUCUUGUCCUAACGCUUGGUAGGUCACUAUUUAACCCAGGUCCCCUGUUCUUACACACAUGUAUACACAACAUUGAGAUAACUUGUGGUUUUUUCAUUUAAAGCUAUGUGAAGUUAUGGGGCACCUGGUGGCUCAGUAGGUUAAGCAUCCGACUCUGGAUUUCAGGUCAGGUCAUGAUCUCACAGUUCAUGGGUUCAAGCCCCACAUCGGGCUCUGCAAUAUCAGUGUGGAGCCUGCUUGGGAUUCUCUCUUUCUCUGCCCCUCCCUUGCUCUCUCUCUCUCUCUCUCUCUCUCAAAAAUAAACAUUUUUAAAAAGUUA